Molecule: ribosomal RNA, 252 nt
Filed under: uncultured bacterium
Lineage: Bacteria
Description: partial 16S ribosomal RNA
Rfam family: Bacterial small subunit ribosomal RNA
Source: RNAcentral
GACGAACGCUGGCGGCGUGCUUAACACAUGCAAGUCGAGCGGUAAGGCCCUUUCGGGGGUACACGAGCGGCGAACGGGUGAGUAACACGUGGGUGACCUGCCCUCAGCUCUGGGAUAAGCCGUGGGAAACCGGGUCUAAUACUGGAUAUGACUCCAUGACGCAUGUUGUGGGGUGAAAGCCUUGUGCGGCUGAGGAUGGGCCCNCGGCCUAUCAGCUUUGUUGGUGGGGUGANGGCCUACCAAGGCGACGAC